AUGAACGCUGGCGGCGUGCUUAACACAUGCAAGUCGAACGAGCCUUCGGGCUAGUGGCGGACGGGUGAGUAACGCGUGGGAAUCUGCCCUCAGGAGGGGGAUAACGGCCGGAAACGGCCGCUAAUACCCCAUAUGCCGAGAGGUGAAACGAAUUUCGCCUGGGGAUGAGCCCGCGUCUGAUUAGCUAGUUGGUGAGGUAAUGGCUCACCAAGGCUUCGAUCAGUAGCUGGUCUGAGAGGAUGAUCAGCCACACUGGGACUGAGACACGGCCCAGACUCCUACGGGAGGCAGCAGUGGGGAAUUUUCCGCAAUGGGCGCAAGCCUGACGGAGCAACGCCGCGUGAGGGACGAAGGCCUCUGGGCUGUAAACCUCUUUUCUCAAGGAAGAAGACAUGACGGUACUUGAGGAAUAAGCCACGGCUAAUUCCGUGCCAGCAGCCGCGGUAAUACGGGAGUGGCAAGCGUUAUCCGGAAUUAUUGGGCGUAAAGCGUCCGCAGGCGGCCUUGUAAGUCUGUUGUUAAAGCGUGGAGCUCAACUCCAUUUAAGCAAUGGAAACUACAAGGCUAGAGUGUGGUAGGGGCAGAGGGAAUUCCCGGUGUAGCGGUGAAAUGCGUAGAUAUCGGGAAGAACACCAGUGGCGAAGGCGCUCUGCUGGGCCAUAACUGACGCUCAUGGACGAAAGCCAGGGGAGCGAAAGGGAUUAGAUACCCCUGUAGUCCUGGCCGUAAACGAUGAACACUAGGUGUCGGGAGAAUUAACCCUUCCGGUGUCGUAGCCAACGCGUUAAGUGUUCCGCCUGGGGAGUACGCACGCAAGUGUGAAACUCAAAGGAAUUGACGGGGGCCCGCACAAGCGGUGGAGUAUGUGGUUUAAUUCGAUGCAACGCGAAGAACCUUACCAGGGUUUGACAUCCUGCGAAUCCCUUGGAAACGAGGGAGUGCCUUCGGGAACGCAGUGACAGGUGGUGCAUGGCUGUCGUCAGCUCGUGUCGUGAGAUGUUGGGUUAAGUCCCGCAACGAGCGCAACCCACGUCUUUAGUUGCCAGCAUUCAGUUGGGCACUCUAGAGAGACCGCCGGUGAUAAACCGGAGGAAGGUGUGGAUGACGUCAAGUCAUCAUGCCCCUUACAUCCUGGGCUACACACGUACUACAAUGCUACGGACAAAGGGCAGCAAACUCGCGAGAGCUAGCAAAUCCCAUAAACCGUGGCUCAGUUCAGAUCGUAGGCUGCAACUCGCCUACGUGAAGGAGGAAUCGCUAGUAAUCGCAGGUCAGCAUACUGCGGUGAAUACGUUCCCGGGCCUUGUACACACCGCCCGUCACACCAUGGAAGUUGGCCAUGCCCGAAGUCGUUACUCCAACCCGCAAGGGAGGAGGACGCCGAAGGUGGGGCUGAUGACUGGGGUGAAGUCGUAACAAGGUAGCCGUACCGGAAGGUGCGGCUGGAUCACCUCCU
This 1456-nucleotide ribosomal RNA is filed under the name Synechococcus sp. BO 8805. RNAcentral describes it as "16S ribosomal RNA". It matches the Rfam family "Bacterial small subunit ribosomal RNA". The record is from RNAcentral. Lineage: Bacteria; Bacillati; Cyanobacteriota; Cyanophyceae; Synechococcales; Synechococcaceae.